UUCUCCGGAGCUGCUUCUGUCCAUGUUGAGUGAUAGCUCGCGUUGAGCUUCAUCCACCAUAGCCCUGGCUUCGAGUAAUUCCUGCUGGGAUUCGGAAAUCUCGGAUAGCCUGUCCUCCAGCUGUCUAGCAUACUCCUUGGCACGGCGUGCCUCGGCCUCCUGCCUCUCGAUGUCGGCAAGCGCCGCUCUUGCUCGGUCGACACGUAGCGACGCCUGGUCCAGCCCGUCGAGCAGGUGCUUGUUCUCCUCUCUGCCGAGGAGCUCCUCCAUCAUGCCCGACACACCGUCGUCCAAAGGGCCCCUUGCUCCCUCGGAGGCAAGACAUCGGAACCGGAGGCGGGGAGGAGAUCCAACGAAGGUAAGUUGGGGAUGGGAGGAAAAUGGCGGGAGGGGGCGGAGGAGCACCAGAGAUGUCGG
RNAcentral lists this unclassified non-coding RNA (417 nucleotides) under Hevea brasiliensis (rubber tree). Lineage: Eukaryota; Viridiplantae; Streptophyta; Magnoliopsida; Malpighiales; Euphorbiaceae. The record is from RNAcentral.